CCCCCCACAAACGCCGCGGCCUCAAACGGCGGCCCGUUUUGGCUCCUGGCAGGGGCGUGAGAGAGGAGGCUCCAGUCAGAGCGGAGACGCUCUUCCAAAGGCCUCUCCCGACCCGCCCACGGAUGGGGCAGUUUGGUAUCUGCGGUCAAUGCCUCGUCUUUCCCUUCUAGACCCUCCUGCCAACCCAACACACAACUUCAGCCCUCAGUUUCCCUCGCCUCAGACAACGGUCGUCCAGGCAGCCCGCUCAGUAGCCGCCGCCCUUCCCGCCCGCGAAGAAAGUGGGGGCAUCCGCCGAAGGUAAGCGCCGUGCAGUGCGUAGGCGCCGCGGCCCGCACAUGCGCAGAGGCCGCCUCCUCGGAGCAAUGGCUUCUCCGGGCCCGCCUGGCCUCCUUUGGCUGGGGGAGAUAACGUUAACGAACCUCCUUGGCGAUCUCACACUGUGAAGUUCUCACACUGCUGGCGCAAGGAUGGCACCAACCCUUUAGAGUUUUGCCCAGAGAGGAGACGAGACUGUCCUGUGACUGGAGAGGCCGGGGGAGAUCUCCUGCCCACCCGGCCUCAGCCCCAGCAUCAUCACAAAAGUGUGCCCUGCGUCUCCGCACCCCCUGGCUGUGUCUUAGGGCCCAGACAUCCGUUUGUUAGAUGCUGGUGGCCACCCACAGGGUGGUAUCUGGCUGAAUUUCUGGGUUGAUCAGGGUCAGGGAAUCUGAGUCCCCAGGAGGCUGGGGACAGAGCUGAAGCCCGGGAUCGGGUGGCAGCCAUGGAAGGUGGAGAGCGGUCAGCGAGGCAGGGUGCGGGGCUGCGGGAGCUUGCGGGACAGAAGGCGCCCGUGAACCGCAGAGACGGUCUGCGGGGGAAGCCACGUGGUGUGCGACCCUGGGCAUUGAGCUGCAGGCCUCCUGGCAAAGACGACUGGAUUCCUGGCCCUGUGAGGUUGGUUUCCCGAGCACUCUGUAAUGGCUGUUUAUAUGAAUUGGGAAAGAGUAAAACUAGAACUGAACCAUGAAGAAGACCAACAAUAACAGAGAGGCACCCCAUUGUCCUGUGAAAAACACUAGACUUGGAAUGAGAAACACGGGUCCCAGGUCUAGUUUCUCCUAUGUCCCUGAAGAACCUUAAUUGGAGAUCAGAUAAAAAACUACUUGGUGAAAUGAUUUCUUGUCACGUUGCUGAAGAACCUAUGAAAAAGGUUGCUAUCUUUGGAGGAACCCAUGGGAAUGAGCUAACUGGAGUAUUUCUGGUUAAGCAUUGGCUAAAGAAUGGUGCUGAAAUUCAGAGAACAGGGCUGGAGGUAAAAUCAUUUAUUACUAACCCAAGAGCAGUGAAGACGUGUACCAGAUAUAUUGACUGUGACCUGCAUCGCAUUUUUGACCUUGAAAAUCUUGGGUAUAGAAGUUGGUCCUCUGCCUCAAGGGGUUCUGAGAGCUGAUAUCUGGGAUCAAAUGAGAACAAUGAUUAAACAUGCUCUUGAUUUUAUACAUCAUUUCAAUGAAGGUAGGAAAAGAAUUUCCUUCCUGUGCCAUUGAGGUCUAUAAAAUUAUGGAGAAAGCAGAUUAUCCCAGGAAUGAAAAUAAAGAAAUUGCUGCUAUCAUCCAUCCUAAUCUGCAGCCUCCUUAUUCCUUGAGACACAAUAAUUAAUAAUUCUACAAUAGCCUCUAUGUGUUCAAGUGAAAGAAGGAGUCAUACUUCUAAAAAUUAAGCUUAGUGAGGAAGGCCUGUCAAAAGCUGAGACAGGCUGAAAGCUAGGCCUCUUGCCCCAGUUAGCCAAUCUGUGGAUUCAAAGGAAAAGCUCUUGAAGAAAAUUUAAAAAUUCUACUCUGGUGAAUACACAAAUGAUAAGAAAGCAAAACAGCCUUAUUGCUGAUAUGGAGACAGUGUUAGUGAUCUGGAUAGAAGACCACAUUAGCCACAACACUUCCUUAAGCCAACGCACGUUCCAGAGCAAGGCCCUAACUCUCUUCAAUUCUGUGAGGGCUGAGAGAGGUGUGGAAGCUGCAGGAAGCUGGCAGACGCUGGUUCAUAAGGUUUAAGGAAAGAAGCUGGCUCCAAACCCUGCAAGUGGAAAGUGAGGCAGUGAGUUGCUGAUGUGGAAGCUGAGACCGGUUAUCCAGAAGGUGUGGCUAAAAUCAUUGAUGAAGCUUCCACACCUCUCUCAGCCCUCACAGAAUUGAAGAGAGUUAGGGCCUUGCUCUGGAACGUGCGUUGGCUUAAGGAAGUGUUGUGGCUAAUGUGAUCUUCUAUCCAGAUCACUAACAGUCUCCAUAUCAGCAAUAAGGCUGUUUUGCUUUCUUAUCAUUUGUGUAUUCACUAGAGUAGAAUUUUUACUAGACAACAGACUUUCAGUGUAAUUGAAACUGCCUUCUAUUGGAAGAUGCCAUCUAGAACGUUCCUAGAUAGAGAGGAGAAUUGAAUGACUGGCUUCAAAGCAUCAAAGGACAGGAUGACUCUCUUGUCAAGAGCUAAUAUAGCUGGUAACUUUCAGUUAAAGCCAAUGCUCAUUAACCAUGUCAAAAAUCCCAGGACUCUGAAGUUGAUGCUAAAUCUGCUCUGCCUGAGCUCUACAAAUGCAACAGCAAAGCCUCGAUGAUGGCACAUCUGUUUACAGCAUGGUUUACUGUAUAUUUUAAGCCCACUGUUGAGAUCUACUGCUUGGGGGAGAAAAAGAUUCCUUUCAAAAUAUUACUGCUCAUUGAAAAUAUACCAGGUUACCCAAGAGCUCUGUGGGAGAUAUGCAGAGAUUAGCAUUGUUUUCAUGCUCGCUAACAAAUAUCCAUGCUGCAGCCAAGGAUCAAGGAGCCAUUCUGACGUUCAAAUCUUAACUAUUUCAAAAAUACACUUCAGGCUGGGGGAGGGGAGAACAAAAUGAAAGAAAGAAAGAAAAACACAUUUCAUAAGGCCAUAGCUCCCAUGGAUAGUGAUUCCUCUGAUAGAUCUGGGCAAAGUUAAUAGAAAACCUUCUGGAAAUGAUUCAGCUUUCUUGAUGCCACUAAGAACAUUCAGGAUCUCUGGAAGGAGAUCAAGGUAUCAACAUUAACACGAGUUAAAAAAAAUUGAUUCCAACUCUCAUGGAUGACUUUGAGGAGUUUGAGACUUCAGUGAAGGAAGUCGUGCAGAUGUGAUAGCUAGAAAAUUAGAAGUGGAGCCUGAAGAUGGAACUGAAUUGCCAUAAUCUCAUGAUCAAGCUUGAAUGAAUAGGAUUUGCUUCUUAUAAAUGAGCAAAGAAAGGGGUUUCCUGAGAUGGAAUCUACUCUUGUUGCAGAAGCUGUGAACAUUGUUGAAAUGACAAACGACUUAGAAUGUUACAUAAACAUAGCAGGGUUUGAGAGGAUUGACUCCUACUUUAAAAUGAGUUUGGCUGCCUCAUGCCUGUAAUCCCAGCACUUUGGAAGGCUGAGGCAGGCAGAUCACCUGAGGUCGGGAGUUCGAGACCAGUCUGGCCAACAUGGUGAAACCCCAUCUCUACUGAUAAUACAAAAAUAUUAGCCAGGUGUGGUGGCACAUGCCUGUAGUUCCAGCUACUCAGGAGGCUGAGGCAGGAGGAUCAUUUGAACCUGGGAGGCAAAAGUUGCAGUGAGCCGAGAUUGCACCAGUGCACUCCAGCCUGGGCAACAGAGCAAGACUUUAUCUCAAAAAAAGGAAAAAAAAGAAAAAGAAAAAAAAUGAGUUCUACUGUGAGUAAAAUGCUGUCAAACAGCAUCCCAUGCUACAGAGAGCUUUUUCAUGAAAGGGAGGGUCAAUCAAUGCAGCAAAGUUAAUUGGUGUUUUAUUUUAAGAAAUUGCCCCAGCCACCCAAACCCUCAGUACCCACCACACUGAUCGGGCAGCAGCCAUCAUCAAGGCAAGGAACUCCACCAGCAAAACGAUCAUGAAUUGCUGAAAGCUCAAAUGAUCAUCGGCUUUUCUUUCUGGCAAUAAAGCAUUUUUAGUGAAGGUAUGUACAUCUUUUAGACAUAAUUCUAUUACUUAAUACACUACAUACAGUGUGAGCACAACUUUUGCAUGUACCAGAAAACCAAAAAAAUGUGUGUGACUCAUCUGUUAUAUUUGUUUUAUUGCGAUGAUCUGGAGCCACGGCCAAAGUGUGUGCCUGUAAUGUGUAAGUGCCAGUAGAAAUUAGUUGUGCAGGCUUGCUAUUUUUUCCAUUUUUAUAUUUGAGUUAAUGGUAAUAUGCUAAGUAUCCAGUCUAUAAACUUCAGCAUUCCUUAGAAAUCCAGAAGAAACUUUUCUGGUUUUUUGUUUUGUUUUGUUUUGAGACGGAGUCUCGCUCUGUCACUCAGGCUGUGGUGCAAUCUCGGCUCACUGCAACCUCUGCCUCCCGGGUUCAAGUAAUUCCUCCACCUCAGCUUCCCGAGCAGCUGGGACUAAAGGCACUGGCCACCACGCCUGGCUCAUUUUUUUGGUGUAUUUUAGUAGAGAUGGGGUUUCAUCAUAUUGGGCAGGAUGGUCUUGAUCUCCUGACCUCGUGAUCCACCCGCCUCAGCUUCCCAAAGUUCUGGAAUUACAGGCAUGAACCACCUUGCCCAGCCCAGAGGAGACUUUUAAAUGCUGUUUCAUAGAUGAAAUGAAAGAGAAAAGAGGGCUUCAUGGUAAAGAUGACAUUAUGAAUAUAUCAAGGAGCUGAAUGGUCCUCUGUCCACAAACAGACAAUAAUCCACACAGCAUCACUACCGUGGCUCAUGCAUUAGCUCUGCACUGACCACAUGGAGCAGGGAGCCUCCUCCUGAUACCCCACAUACCUGAGGAGCUAAUGUUUCUUCCCAACAUGGAAAAUUUGGAAGAGGCAUAUUCUUCACAGCUGUUACUUCUCAUUUUGAAAGAAUGUGCCUGCCCUUAUUCCCAGGCAAGGUGUGAGGAGGUCUUUGGGUUCCAGCUGUUGCCAGCAGAGAUGGUGAAAGUCAGUAACAGGGCGGUGGACACUCAGAGAAAUGUGACUCACAGCUCUGGUUUGCAAAUUCAGUCUUUCAAGAAAUCCUGCAGUGUCCUAAAUGCCCAAAUCCCCUGCCUCCCAUGAUCCUUCUCUGCAAAGGACCUUCUACUGGACGCUGUCCCACCCUCCCCAGCCCCUUCAGGGCCCUCCCCUCUGUCCUCUUAGGCCAGAGCAGCCAGUAAGGCAUGUUUUUAUUCCACGAUCUGUACUCCAAGGAAUCCAUAAUCAUAGUUUCAAAUGUAUUUACUGAAAAUACUAACAUUAUCUGGAAUAAAUAAAUAAUAAAUAUUAUAUGCUUAGACAUUUUCAUUCCUAAGUAAACCCCACUAAGCCGAUUUUACUCCAUAUUCGGUGUUCUAGAAAACACAUCAUUUCUAAAUUUUUCAGCAUUCUUUCUGUAAUUGUACUUUACUAAAAUUGUUUGCAUUGGAGUAAACACUCUUCUUUCCAGAUUCUGUAGUAAAAAUGUGAUUUAUCAGCGUUUGUACCUAACUUUUAGCAAGCUUUCUUCUCCCACUGUGAAUGUUCCAUUGUGUUUUAUUCCUGAGUCCAACUUUUCUAGGUCAGCUUUGUCCAGAUGUAAAUUUUGGCAAGAAUACUCUGUUCUCCCAUCAAACUUUAGUUAUUUGUAAAAUUUACAAAGUACAAUUUAAACUACUGUGAUUUUAGUCAGUUUUAGGGUUGGUUAUUUCUAGCAAGUCUAAUGUUUCCCUUUUACAAGUCUUUAGCAUUUCUAAUUAGAUGUGUGUGUGUUUUUAAUCUAUAACAUAUUGCUGUGUGGGUUUAGCCACUCUGAGUUUUGUUUUGUUUUGUUUUGUUUGAGAUGGAGUCUUUCUCUGUCACCCGGGCUGGAGUGCAUCAGUGUGAUUCUGACCAUCUGCAUCUGCAUGCUCUCUCAUUUAUAAAAUGGGAAUGAUCAUAAUAAUAGUGCCCCUUUCAUAGGGUACCGUGAGGAUUAAGUGGGCUAAGACCUGGAAGCACUUAGCUCUGUGCCUAGCACAGAGUAUGUACCUAAUAAAUCAUUCAAGUUCAAAUUCCUGGCACCAAAGGCCAUUCAUGACUGCCCUCUCCCCCACCCCCCAUGCCUCUCUACACUUAUCUCCCAUCAGGCUGCGUCCACCUUCACAUAGACGACUCCCCCACCUAGAAUCCCCUCCCACUCUCCUCCAUCUACCACCAGCCUCAGGCUUCACUCUAGCUAACGAUGCCUGUUUCUCCUCUAAAAUGCAACUCACUUUCAUUCCAUAGACAGCACCUUCCUGGGCUUCCUCUCCCUGCCUUAGUUGCCACUCUGCCCCUCCCCUACCCCAUCUUGAGGGCUUUUGCAGUGUCUUUUUCAAUGUCUACAGUCUAAUCAGUGACCAACAGAGUCAGCUGAAUAACUGAGCAUGCUCAAACGUCCCUUCUCUACCGAAACAUCUUCGUGUCCCACCAACGCCCCUGCCUUCUUCUCUUCUUCCCAGUCACUUCCUGAGGAUUGUCCCCAUCACUCCCAAGUGAAACACUUCGUUCUACACCCUCAGACUGUUACUAUGUCCCAAAAAACAGUGGAAGAAAAAACACCCACUGAAACCUGCAAAUCCAUGAAAAAAAAAAAAAAAAGGAAAUGUUCACACUCAACAAUUGCCCUGUUUAAAAUCCUUUUGUCGCAUCUUACCCUUGUUAUAAGAUCUCAAAGCCUCACUGUGGCUGUAUGAAUCCUCCAUGCCCUGGCCUCUGCCCAUCCCUCCAGGCUUAUUUCAUGUCCCUUGACCCCUUGCUCCCAGCAAUUUGGCCACAUAAGGCUUCUCCAGUCCUCAGAUACAUGAAGCUCCCUACUACCUGUUGGUGUUUGCCCACAUUUUCCCUGCUUAUUGAAACCCUUCCUGGUCUCCACACUUCUAUUGGCUAAAUGAUGCUUAUUCUUAAACAUGACUCAGGCGGCUGAGUGCAGUGGCUCACACCUGUAAUUCCCAGCACUUUGGGAAGCCGAAGCAGGUGAAUCACCUGAGCUCAGGAGUUUGAGACCAGCCUGACCAACAUGGUGAAACCCCAUCUCUACUAAAAAUGCAAUUCUCACAUCUGAUAGAAUAGAUUUCAAAGCAACAAAGAUAUAGUGGUAAAAGGAUCAAUGCAACAAUAAGAGCUAAUGAUCCUAACACCCAGAUACAUAAGACCCAUAAAGAGACUUAGACUCAACAAGACAGAAAAUUGAUGAGGACAACCAGGACUUGAACUCAGAUCUGGAACAAAUAAACUUGAUAGAUAUUUAUAGAGCUCUCCAUUUUAAAUACACAAAAUAUACAUUCUCCACUUUAAAUACACAAAAUAUUGAUCGGCCAUUAUUAAUACCCACAUUUAGAAUAAAGCAACAUUCCCAUUCUCUCUCCCUCUUUUUUUCCUCCUUCUUCCUCUCCUUCACUCCUGUUUUUUCUUUCUUUUCUCCUAAAAAUAAAAAUAAAAAAAGAAAAAGAAAAAUCAGAACAACAGGGAGAUUAAGUGUAGGUUCUAAUAAACACCUUUAUUGAUAUAUACUUCAUAUAUCAUAAAAUUCACCCAUUUAAAGUGUAAAAAGUAGGCCAGCCAUCGUGGCUCACACCUACAAUCCCAGCACUUUGGGAGGCUGAGGCAGGUGGAUUACCUGAGGUCAGGAGUUUGAGAUCAGCGUGGCCAACACGGUGAAACCUUGUCUCUACAAAAAACAAAACAAAACAAAUAACAAAAAAUAGCCAGGCAUGGUGGUGGGUGCCUGGUAAUCCCAGCCACUCAUGAGGCAGAGAUAGGAGAAUCACUUGAACCCAGGAGGCAGAUUUUACAGUGAGCCAAGGUCACACCAUUUUACUCCAGCCAGGGCAACAAAAGAGAAAAUCCAUCUCAAAUAAAUAAAGUGUAAAAAUAAAUUGAUAAUGUUUUUGUUUCCUGCUUAAAAUUACAAACUCUUUUGUAGACUAUCAACCUUUGAUAGUCCUCAAUAAUUUGAUCUUAAUCAAAUUAUUGAGAAAAUGAUAAUACCUUGUAAUUCUUACACUAACAUUUGUAAGAUUCCAUUCUACUUUAAUAAUUUCCAUUGCUCAACUUCUUCAUUUCAGCAACUGUGAUUAUUUUAAUUUAAAAAAUAAAAUAAAAAUAAAAAUGCAAAAAUUAGCCGGGUGUGGUGGCGGGCGCCUGCAGUCCCAGCUACUUGGGAAGCUGAGGCAGGAGAAUUGCUUGAAGCAGGAAGGUGGAGGUUGCAGUGAGCUGAGAUCAUGCCAUUGCACUCCAGCCUGGGCAACAGAGCAAGACCAUCUCAAAAAAAGAAAAUAAAAAAGAAAAAAAGAGGGAAAGAUAGAAAAGGAAGGAAGGAAGGAGAAUGAACGAGAGAGAGAAGAAAGAAGGAAGGAACGAAGUAAGGAAUGAAGAAGGAAAGGGGGAGGGAAAAGAGAGAGAGAAAGACAAAAGAAGGGAAGGAGGGAGGGAGGGAGGCAUCUGAAGCUUAGGAAUGUGGGCUAAAAUAAAUUCAUUCACAGGUUUGGUGGUUAGAAGCUGAAGGUGUUUCCAACUUAUGGCUUCCAAGCUAUUGAUACGGAAGUGGUGAGGCCUCAGGUUUAAGAAGUGUGAUGGGUCUGAAAUAACAAAAUAUGAUGAUUUUAAAAAAUAAAACGAAAUGGAUGAAAGAAACAGGACAGCUGGGCAGUAAUCAGGUUGCUAUACAAAGUAAAUGAGACAAUGUAUGGAAAGAGCAUGGCACUUUAUAAACACUCAUUUCCUUCUCCCUCCUACUGCCACCUUAAAUGGAAGAAAUUGUCUCGCUGAUAUUUGCAUCAUCUAUCAUUGCACAUACUUCAUAUUCCUUUUUUGUUGAACUGGUUCUAAAUCUUCACACAUAUAGGUCAGAUACAUUUUUAGAGUUGGACUGAAUCACUUCCUUUCUGCAGAACUUUGCUGUUAUUGCUGGUACAGCAAGAAAAAUGGUAGCUCUUGCUACUGGACUAACUAAACCUCAGAGAACCUGAAUCCUCCAGCCGGGAAAAAGUGUGAUGAACUUUGCAUGUCAUUCUGUCUGUCUCCAAGUCUUGAUAUCCCUACCUAUUAAACUGGGAUAUGACACUCACCAAACCUACAAAACAAUCACCAACAUGAUGAACAGAGCUUUUUAAACAGCAGAGCAUACAAUCUCAAAGGCUGCACAAAUUGAUGAAACGCUUUGGAGAAGCAAUUUUUCACAGUAUCAAGAACCAUAAAAAUGGUCAAACCUAUUGACCUCGGCAGCUCGUUUCCAGAAAUAUAUUCUAUCCGUUUUCUAUCAGUCCACCCAACAUAUGCCCAUGGAUGGCACAUUUCUAAACUUUGGACUAACGCCUGUAUGAGCUAGGAUUCGAGUCACAUGCAGUCCCUGUUUUGUUGCCAGUCAACAAGAUACAGCCCAGUGAAGGAAGUUAUUCUAGGAAUCAUCUGAAUUAAGUAAAUGAUUCACCAAAUACAGUAUUUCACUUAUUAAUAAAGUGGUUGCGAGCUCCACAGCCCACCAAGACAAGCAGUGAAGACUUGGCAUUCAAGUUGAGAACUGCCAUCCUUACAAAAUAACUCAGAGGAAUGAAGAAUUGCAUAUACCUCCGAAUUAGGCUGAUAGGCAGUAAUGACAGUCACAAUGUCAGCUCUUUCCUAUCCAUUCUCUCACUGCCUCCUCAUGAAAAUCCUGUGAGGUAGACAAAAGGGAUUUACACCUUCUGUGCUCCAGGUAGAACCAUGGGGUUAUGUUCACCUGAAAUAAGUUGACAGCCAACAGGCAUGAUGGAUAGAGCACUGUUAUCUUUUUCUUUAUUUCUUCUAAAAAAAUGGGAUACUUGGUGGAACAGGCAUGUUUGUUGCAUAGGUAUACAUGUGCCAUGGCAGUUUCCUGCACCUGUUGGCCUGUCCCCUAAGUUCCGUCCCCCAACCCCCCAACCCCCAACAGGCCCUAAUGUGUACUGUUCCCCUAUCUUUGUCCAUAUGUUCUCAGUGUUCAACUCCAACUUAUGAGUAAGAACAUGUGAGAUGUGGUUUUCUGUUCCUGUAUUAGUUUGCUGAGGAUGAUGGUUUCCAGCUUUAUCCAUGUCACCACAAAGGACAUGACCUCAUUCCUUUAUAUGGCUGCAUAAUAUUCCAUGGUGUAUAUGUACCACAUGUUCUUUAUCCAGCCUAUCAUUGAUGGGCAUUUGGGUUGGUUCCAAGUCUUUGCUAUUGUAAACAGUGCUGCAAUAAAUAUAUGUAUGCAUGCUUCUU
This is a non-coding RNA of Callithrix jacchus (white-tufted-ear marmoset), 10150 nucleotides long. The record is from RefSeq and is a predicted model, not a curated record. Lineage: Eukaryota; Metazoa; Chordata; Mammalia; Primates; Cebidae.